Molecule: long non-coding RNA, 4207 nt
Organism: Salvelinus fontinalis (brook trout)
Lineage: Eukaryota; Metazoa; Chordata; Actinopteri; Salmoniformes; Salmonidae
Exons: 5
Source: RefSeq, a predicted model, not a curated record
UGAAGUGCACCAGUCCCUCCUGCAGCAAAGCAUCCCCACAACAUGAUGCUGCCGCCCCCGUCCUUCACGGUUGGGAUGGUGGUCUUCAGCUUUUAAGCCUCCCCAUUUUUCCUCCAAACAUAACAAUGGUCAUUAUGGCCAAACAGUUCUAUUUUUGUUUCAUCAAACCAGAGGACAUUUCUCCAAAAAGUAUGAUCUUUGUCCCUGUGUGCAGUUGCAAACCGUAGUCUGGCUUUUUUAUGGCGGUUUUGGAGCAGUGGCUUCUUCCUUGUUGAACGGCCUUUCAGGUUAUGUCGAUAUAGGACUCGUUUUACUGUGGAUAUGUUGAUACAUUUGUACCUGUUUCCACCAGCAUCUUCACAAGGUCCUCUGCUGUUGUUCUGGGAUUUAUUUGCACUUUUCGCACCAAAGUACGUUUAUCUCUAGGAGACAGAACGCGUCUCCUUCCUGAGCGGUAUGACGGCUGCGUGGUCCCAUGGUGUUUAUGCUUGCGCACUAUUGUUUGUACAGAUGAACGUGGUACCUUCAGGCAUUUGGAAAUUGAUCCCAAGGAUGAACCAGACUUGUGGAAUGUCUUGUCGGAUUUCUUUUGAUUUUCCCAUGAUGUCAGGCAAAGAGCCAAAGAGUUUGAAGGUAGGCCUUGAAAUAAAUCCACAGGUACACCUCCAAUCGACUCAAAUGAUGUCAGUUAGCCUAUCAGAAGCUUCUAAAGCCAUGACAUAAUUUUCUGGAUUUUUCCAAGCUGUUUAAAUGCACAGUCAACUUAGUGUAUGUAAACUUCUGACCCACUGGUAUUGUGAUACAGUGAAUUAUAAGUGAAAUAAUCUGUCUAAACAAUUUUGGAAAAAAUGACUUGCUCAAAGUAGAUGUCCUAACCGACUUGGCUAAACUAUAGUUGGUUAACAAGCAAUUUGUGGAGUCGUUGAAAAACAAGUUUUAAUGACUUCAACCUAAGUGUAUGUUAACUUCCGACUUCAGCUGUAGCUUUAUUGGGAAUGUACAGGUGUAAAUCCUGCAAUUUCUGUUUCCUAAAUAUUAAAGCAUUUUUUACUCAUGCAAUUAUACAUAGAAAUGUGUCAAACUACUGUGUUGCUUGUGGGAUAGAGUGCCCUUGCACCAAAGCAUCACUACUUGUUAAAUCACCCCGAUCUCAUUCUGCAAUUUGGGUGACUCAUUUGUUUGUGGACACUGAGGUUUGAGAGCACACUCCUUCUUCAAGGAGUGUGCCAGAAAACGUGUCUGAGAGCCACCAGUUACUCCAAUCUUACUUAAGCAGCAGCCAAUUGUUUCCACAUAGCAUUGAAGUUGUUGGUGUCAUGAAUUAAUUUGAGGAGCAAUUAUAUAACAACACCAUUCAGGGAGCUGUACAUUCAGAAGGGUUCACAAAGCAAAGCUCUGCAGAGGUGUCUAAAAUUGUAUACAAAGUAAAAACAUACACUGAAGGCCAUGUUGUAAUUGGAGAAAAUGAUGACGGAUACACAUUUGGAAAGAUCUCAAUGAUUCUGGUCACAGAAUCACAGGUUCCUUUAAUUGUUGGGGUGUAUCAGUCUGUGUCACUGGUCGAUCUGGGGGUUCAUUUUAUACCAGAUUCUCUGAUUAAUUAUGUGUGUUGUGGCAAAGAAGGGGGUCGAGUGAUAAAUGGCAGAUAUGUGAGAGCAGAACUAAUAAACGGGCUCUGCCCGAUCACUAAAAUGGCCACCCCAAUCAGAACUACAGAUCACAAAAUGGCCGACUGACAAAACUACAAGUCCCAGAAGCAAGGGGAAGCCUCAGAAGGUGGAGCCAACACACAGAUAAAGGGUCAAGAAAAACCAGGAAGAGGGAUUGAGGGGUGGAAGGAUCUAUGAACCGUAGAGAAAGAGACAAUAGAUAUUGGCUCGAUUUACCGUGUAUGAGCUGGACUGUUUUGGACUUACCUGUUGGCGUUUGGACCUGGACAAACCGAGAACCCGAUUUGUGUACCGAACCCUGCUAUCCUUGACCUUGCCUACGACCUGGGUGGACCAUGACGGAGAAACAAACACACAGUGUAGGCAUGGAGGGUCUUCAAGAUGCAAUUAAACACCAAUUGCUCGAGUUGGAGACAGAGAUGGUGAGAUCUUUGUCAGAGCAUCUGAGGGCAAGUGUUGGAGUCGAGAAUAUUAACGACCUUGAAUAUGUUCAGCCGGAGAACAUAAAAUACCAUUUGACGGCAAUAUAGUGCCGGGAAUUGCUUCAGUCCUUCAACCAAAGAGGUGAGAUCUUGAUUGAUAAAUGUAACAUAUUUAUGUAAUUGUUAUGAAAAAAGGUGUUAUUUAGAACCUAAAAUGGUUAUUUGGCUGUCCCCAUAAGAGAACCCUUUGAAGAUCACUUUUUGAUUCCAGGUACAUGUAUAACCCUUUUCAUUCCAGGUAGAACCCUUUCCACAGAGGGUUCUACAUGGAACCCAGCCAAAGAACCCUUUUUUCUAAGAGAGUACACACACACACACACACACACACAAGGUUAAAAAUGUUCUGUAAAUAGUUAGUUUGUUUGCCCUCAAAAUAAAUGGUUUAUGCUAUGAGGUAGCAAGGCAUAUGCAAUAAAAGGGAUGGAAAGUACAAAAAUAUACAAAUGUUUCUGUAAAUUGUUUGUCCUCUUGUGCUGGUAUGGAGUGCAGCGCAUAGCCUAACAAAAUUUUCUUUUAAAAAAUACAAAGAAAUAAACUAAGAUUGGAUAGGAUCUGUAACAAUGGAUAGGACACUUAUUCUUUUCACCAAGUUAUUGCUCUGCGACCACUUCAAUACUCUUGAUUGACAGCCACUUGAAUCAAGCUCUCCUGAACAAGGGUAAGAGAUUUGUCAACUUUUUUAAAAGCCAAAAGCCAAAGUUGAGAAGAGCGAUCCAGUGCCUGCUGAAUGAAAUCGACAGUUAAAUAAAAGGCAGCCACUGCUGCCAUUCUUUUGUUGAUGACCCACUUCAACGAGAAGGACGAAUCUCUGUUCCUCUUGGCAAAUGUAAGGAAACGUUUUUAUACUUAUAAAGUUUAUAUGAUUAACGGUUUUUAUACUGCACUAUUACACAUUAUUUGAAUAUUUUUUAUAUGUAUGUUUUGUGAUUUUAGGUCACUGCGACUCGGGUUGAUGUCGAAUCGCAAAUUCCUUAGCCAGACACAACAAGGCUGAUCAUGCUUGAUAAUACAUUUAUUUGAUUUAAGGUGGAACAGAAUAUGGUAUCUAUAGUAUUGUGGUACCUAUCUAGAGAUGUCUAGUAAGUGUACACUAACACCCUUACUUUUGUGAAUUAUGGUAUGCUCUAUUUGGGUUCCACAAAAUGGAUGGUGUCGAUCAAGGGGAGAGUGGUCUGUGUUUUGGACAGUGAGACCAACUUUGCUGCUGCCCUCUGUGCUCUUCAGCACUUUCUAUGUUUUUAACAUAGAAUACCAGGAGUCGGCCUCUGCAACCUUGGAGCUGAUACAGAGGUUCCGGGUUCGAAUAUACCCUGAAGGAACCAAAUGCACGGCGAAAGCAGGAGUGAGCCGCAAGACCGGAAAGGUUGUUCAGAGGAAGCCAUUGCCAAUUGAUCCACAUGUUACACGCUUUCUCGCAGACCUGAAGGAGUUUGAGUGGAAAAACUCCAACAUUUGACGCAUCAGACCUACGGAGGAUCAGAGUUUCAAAGAUUAGGGUGAUAAUCUGCACGCCAACAAGAUUUAUUCAAGACUUUUUUGCAUCUCUCAUUCUCUUAGAAAUCCUGCCAUGCAGGUUGGGACAGCAAAUGAUCUGCUUGCGCUCUCCCGGAGCAUGUGUUGGCUUGCGGUAGGUAGCGUGCUUCUCUGGCUCCAGUCUAGCCCUGCUUGCUCCUCUCUAUCCAUCCUUCUCUCUCAAAGACAGGCAGGCAAGCAGUUCUUGUUAUAGUUUUUUGUAAAAAUGUCUCCCUGUUCAACUGUUUUCCUAUUUUUCAUUGAUUUGUUUAGAUCUUUUUUUCUUACAUAAUCCUGUAUUUUCAAGAAUGACCUAUUCUGAUGUCUUGGUUUGUGUAUGGUGAAGUACAUUAUUGGCCAGUAUUUGUCAAUGUUCUUAUCACUGUAUCUCUCUCUGUCUCUCUCCCCUACUAUCUGGAGUUGUAAUGUUGCUCUUUUCAAAUGUUCUUCUUUGUGGUUAAAGUGCAAUUCAUGUCAUGAAUUUGAAUAAAUAUAUAUAUGUACAGGUUUUUUGUGUGUUUUUUUUUACAAUAUUACAUUUCA